AGGAUGAACGCUAGCGGCAGGCUUAACACAUGCAAGUCGAGGGGUAGAAGAAGCUUGCUUUUUUGAGACCGGCGCACGGGUGCGUAACGCGUAUGCAAUCUACCUUUUACAAAGGGAUAGCCCAGAGAAAUUUGGAUUAAUACCUUAUAGUAUUAAGUUUUGGCAUCAAGAUUUAAUUAAAGAUUUAUCGGUAAAAGAUGAGCAUGCGUCCCAUUAGUUAGUUGGUAAGGUAACGGCUUACCAAGACUUCGAU
RNAcentral lists this ribosomal RNA (253 nucleotides) under uncultured bacterium. Its description in RNAcentral is "partial small subunit ribosomal RNA". It matches the Rfam family "Bacterial small subunit ribosomal RNA", at positions 26 to 280 of the family's 1533-position model. The record is from RNAcentral.